AGUGAACGCUGGCGGUAGGCCUAACACAUGCAAGUCGAACGGCAGCACAGUAAGAGCUUGCUCUUACGGGUGGCGAGUGGCGGACGGGUGAGGAAUACAUCGGAAUCUACUUUUUCGUGGGGGAUAACGUAGGGAAACUUACGCUAAUACCGCAUACGACCUACGGGUGAAAGCAGGGGAUCUUCGGACCUUGCGCGAUUGAAUGAGCCGAUGUCGGAUUAGCUAGUUGGCGGGGUAAAGGCCCACCAAGGGGACGAUCCGUAGCUGGUGUGAGAGGAUGAUCGGCCACACGGGAACGGAGACACGGUCCAUACUCCUACGGGAGGCAGCAGUGGGGAAUAUUGGACAAUGGGCGCAAGCCUGAUCCAGCCAUACCGCGUGGGUGAAGAAGGCCUUCGGGUUGUAAAGCCCUUUUGUUGGGAAAGAAAAGCAGCAGGUUAAUACCCCGCUGUUCUGACGGUACCCAAAGAAUAAGCACCGGCUAACUUCGUG
RNAcentral lists this ribosomal RNA (492 nucleotides) under uncultured bacterium. RNAcentral's name for it is "partial 16S ribosomal RNA". It matches the Rfam family "Bacterial small subunit ribosomal RNA", at positions 29 to 507 of the family's 1533-position model. The record is from RNAcentral.